Molecule: non-coding RNA, 85 nt
Organism: Felis catus (domestic cat)
Lineage: Eukaryota; Metazoa; Chordata; Mammalia; Carnivora; Felidae
Source: Rfam
GCCUGGGUGGCUCAGGCGGUUGGGCGUCUGACUUCGGCUCAGGUCAUGAUCUCGCGGUCCAUGGGUUCGAGCCCCGCAUCAGGCU